AUUGGGCGUAAAGGGUCUGUAGGAGGUUUGUUAAAUACGGGGUGAAAUCCGGGAGCUCAACUCCCGAACUGCCCUGUAGACUGACAGACUGGAGUACCGGAGAGGUAAGCGGAAUACCAAGUGUAGCGGUGGAAUGCGUAGAUAUUUGGUAGAACACCAAGAGCGAAGGCAGCUUACUGGCCGGCAACUGACUCUGAAAGACGAAAGCAUGGGGAGCAAACAGGAUUAGAUACCCUGGUAGUCCAUGCCGUAAACGUUGUCAACUUGAUGUGGGUGGAUUUAGUCCUAUCCGUAUCGAAGCCAACGCGAUAAGUUGACCGCCUGGGGACUACGGCCGCAAGGCUAAAACUCAAAGGAAUUGACGGGGGCCCGCACAAGCGGUGGAGCAUGUGGCUUAAUUCGAGGCAACGCGAAGAACCUUACCUGGGCUUGAAAUAUACCGGACAGUCUGUGAAAGCAGAUCUCCCUUCGGGGCUGGUAUACAGGUGCUGCAUGGCUGUCGUCAGCUCGUGCCGUGAGGUGUUCGGUUAAGUCCGGCAACGAGCGCAACCCGUGUCAUUAGUUGCCAACAGGUAAAGCUGGGGACUCUAAUGAGACUGCCUGUGUUAAGCAGGAGGAAGGCGCGGAUGAUGUCAAGUCAGUAUGGCCCUUACGCCCAGGGCUGCACACGUGCUACAAUGGGGGGUACAAUGAGAAGCGAAGUCGCGAGGCGGAGCAAAUCUACAAAACCUCUCUUAGUUCAGAUUGCAGUCUGCAACUCGACUGCAUGAAGUUGGAAUCGCUAGUAAAGGCGUAUCAGCUACGACGCCUUGAAUACGUUCCCGGGCCUUGUACACACCGCCCGUCACAUCAUGGGAGUUGAUUGCACCCGAAAUCGUUGAUCCAACCUGCAAAGGAGGAAGGCGCCUAAGGUGUGGUCGAUGACUGGGAUGAAGUCGUAACAAGGUAGCCGUAGGGGAACCUGCGGCUG
RNAcentral lists this ribosomal RNA (970 nucleotides) under human gut metagenome. RNAcentral's name for it is "bacterial SSU rRNA". It matches the Rfam family "Bacterial small subunit ribosomal RNA", at positions 553 to 1520 of the family's 1533-position model. The record is from RNAcentral.